CGCCUGUUUAGCGCUGUCAGAGCUUUCCGCCUCUACAGCGCUGCCGGAGUCUCCCGCCUGUUCGGAGCUGCCAGUCUGCAAGGAGCUGCCAGUCUGCAAGGAGCUGCCAGUCUGCAAGGAGCUGCCAGUCUGCAAGGAGCUGCCAGUCUGCAAGGAGCUGCCAGUCUGCAAGGAGCUGCCAGUCUGCAAGGAGCUGCCAGUUUGCAAGGAGCCGCCAGAGCUGCCAGUCUGCAUGGAGCCGCCAGGGCCGCCAGUCAGCAUGGAGCCGCCAGGGCCGCCAGUCAGCAUGGAGCCGCCAGGGCCGCCAGUCAGCAUGGAGCCGCCAGGGCCGCCAGUCAGCAUGGAGCAGCCAGGGCCGCCAGUCAGCAUGGAGCAGCCAGGGCCGCCAGUCAGCAUGGAGCAGCCAGGGCCGCCAGUCAGCAUGGAGCAGCCAGGGCCGCCAGUCAGCAUGGAGCAGCCAGGGCCGCCAGUCAGCAUGGAGCAGCCAGGGCCGCCAGUCAGCAUGGAGCAGCCAGAGCAGCCAGUCAGCAUGGAGCAGCCAGUCAGCAUGGAGCAGCCAGUCAGCAUGGAGCAGCCAGAGCUGCCAGUCAGCAUGGAGCAGCCAGAGCUGCCAGUCAGCAUGGAGCAGCCAGAGCUGCCAGUCAGCAUGGAGCAGCCAGAGCUGCCAGUCAGCAUGGAGCAGCCAGUCAGCAUGGAGCAGUCAGAGCUGCCAGUCAGCAUGGGGCAGCCAGUCAGCAUGGAGCAGCCUGAGCUGCCAGUCGACCAGACUCUUCCAGAUCUGCCAGUCGACCAGACUCUUCCAGAUCUGCCAGUCGACCAGACUCUUCCAGAUCUGCCAGUCGACCAGACUCUUCCAGAUCUGCCAGUCGACCAGACUCUUCCAGAUUCUCCAGUAGACCAGACUCUUCCAGAUUCUCCAGUCAGCCAGGAUCUGCUAGAUCCAACUACCUGCCUGGGCUUCCUCUCAGUGCUGAGCUUCCUCUCAGUGCUGAGCUUCCUCUCAGUGCUGAGCUGCCCAUCAGUCCCGAGCUACCUCUGUCCCGAGCUAAGGACGCUAAGGAGGUGGACUAAAACUAUUAUGGAGUGGGGUCUACGUCCAGCGCCAGAGCCGCCACCGCGGACAGAUGCCCACCCAGACCCUCCCCU
This 1146-nucleotide long non-coding RNA is filed under the name Oncorhynchus mykiss (rainbow trout). RNAcentral describes it as "lncRNA (ENSOMYG00000065307.1)". The record is from RNAcentral. Lineage: Eukaryota; Metazoa; Chordata; Actinopteri; Salmoniformes; Salmonidae.